RNAcentral lists this ribosomal RNA (490 nucleotides) under uncultured bacterium. RNAcentral's name for it is "partial 16S ribosomal RNA". It matches the Rfam family "Bacterial small subunit ribosomal RNA", at positions 30 to 507 of the family's 1533-position model. The record is from RNAcentral.
AUUGAACGCUGGCGGCAGGCCUAACACAUGCAAGUCGAACGGUAACAGGAAGAAGCUUGCUUCUUUGCUGACGAGUGGCGGACGGGUGAGUCAUGUCUGGGAAACUGCCUGAUGGAGGGGGAUAACUACUGGAAACGGUAGCUAAUACCGCAUAACUUCGCAAGCCCAAAGAGGGGGACCUUCGGGCCUCUUUCCAUCGGAUGUGCCCAGAUGGGAUUAGCUUGUUGGUGGGGUAACGGCUCACCAAGGCGACGAUCCCUAGCUGGUCUGAGAGGAGGAGAGGCCACACUGGAACUGAGACACGGUCCAGACUCCUACGGGAGGCAGCAGUGGGGAAUAUUGCACAAUGGGCGCAAGCCUGAUGCAGCCAUGCCGCGUGUAUGAAGAAGGCCUUCGGGUUGUAAAGUACUUUCAGCGGGGAGGAAGGGAGUAAAGUUAAUACCUUUGCUCAUUGACGUUACCCGCAGAAGAAGCACCGGCUAACUCCGUG